UACGGAGGGUGCAAGCGUUAAUCGGAAUUACUGGGCGUAAAGCGCACGCAGGCGGUUAGUUAAGUUGGAUGUGAAAUCCCCGGGCUCAACCUGGGAACUGCAUUCGAUACUGGGUAACUAGAGCCUUGUAGAGGGGGGUAGAAUUCCAUGUGUAGCGGUGAAAUGCGUAGAGAUGUGGAGGAAUACCGGUGGCGAAGGCGACCCCCUGGACAAAGACUGACGCUCAGGUGCGAAAGCGUGGGGAGCAAACAGG
RNAcentral lists this ribosomal RNA (253 nucleotides) under uncultured bacterium. RNAcentral describes it as "partial 16S ribosomal RNA". It matches the Rfam family "Bacterial small subunit ribosomal RNA", at positions 524 to 776 of the family's 1533-position model. The record is from RNAcentral.